AAAAAAAAUCUUACACCCAAAAUCCCUAAAAACACAAGUCCAGAAAAGGGGGGAAAAGUUAUUACAGCACGUUACAAAAAUAAACUAAAACUAAGUACUAAAAUUUCCGCCGUCAUUCACUUUGUCAUCGCUCGUAAAGGGGCUGCCACCUGAAACAUGACAAAAAAAGAAGCUUCAAUUCAAAGGUAAUUCAAACAUUCCUAUUCGAAAGCAUUCACACAAAAUUCAUACAUACACAUUGUUGUAGUUAUACUCCCUUAAACUACCCUCGAUUCUAAUUUUCAAUGUGACUAAUCGAGUGAACGUUUUAUGUUAGUAAAUAAGGCUAACAAACCCUUAAAAUAAGCUUUAAAAAUCAACUAAAGUUGCUGGAAAUUAUGAUAAACAAAGAACCUAUAAUUGUCUUUCACCAGGGAUCCAAAAAGUCAUGAAACUCGGUAUAAUCGAGUUAAAACACAGAUUAUUCGACUAAACAAGUUGCUGAAAAUUUUUUUAAACAUUAGCUAAAGUCAAGUUUUGUUAAAAUAAAACUUGGAUAAAAUAUUCAAACUACUAUUAUAAUCUCAAUAACGAAACUAAGUUAGUUCCUUAGGCAGCUAAUCAAGAAACAGAAAUCAAUAUAAAAUAGGCUAGACUUUUUUACCAAGCUGUUUUCUCUCUAUCUCUGUUUCUCCACCGUUACCGUUGAUUUCCGCUCCUAACCGAGAAAUCAAAAAACAGAACAAAUUAGAUCCGCAAAAUAAAUAAAUAAGGGGUUUCAACCCUAGGUUUACAUAUCGGGGCUUGCAUGUCACUGGAGGAUCCGCCGGAACCACCGACGACAACAUAAAAGGCCGGAUCUAGGUUAAACAAGAGACAAACCAUUAAAAAAGGGAUUUCAGAUAUGUUUUUACCUUUUUCUCUCGUUGUUGAUGAUUGAGUACGGAGAGAAAGAGGAGAAAUGAAGGGGAAGAAGAAAACAGGAAAAGAAAAGAAAAUGGGGCGACGGCGACCAUCGCCGUCGAGAAGGAAAAGAAG
This 1017-nucleotide long non-coding RNA is filed under the name Linum usitatissimum (flax). RNAcentral's name for it is "long non-coding RNA (LUSI_LNC003893)". Lineage: Eukaryota; Viridiplantae; Streptophyta; Magnoliopsida; Malpighiales; Linaceae. The record is from RNAcentral.